This 1247-nucleotide ribosomal RNA is filed under the name Candidatus Phytoplasma pruni -related phytoplasma. RNAcentral's name for it is "bacterial SSU rRNA". It matches the Rfam family "Bacterial small subunit ribosomal RNA", at positions 153 to 1399 of the family's 1533-position model. The record is from RNAcentral. Lineage: Bacteria; Bacillati; Mycoplasmatota; Mollicutes; Acholeplasmatales; Acholeplasmataceae.
GAAACGACUGCUAAGACUGGAUAGGAAAAGUAAAGGCAUCUUUACUUUUUUAAAAGACCUUCUUUGAAGGUAUGCUUAAGGAGGGGCUUGCGACACAUUAGUUAGUUGGCAGGGUAAAGGCCUACCAAGACUAUGAUGUGUAGCUGGACUGAGAGGUUGAACAGCCACAUUGGGACUGAGACACGGCCCAAACUCCUACGGGAGGCAGCAGUAGGGAAUUUUCGGCAAUGGAGGAAACUCUGACCGAGCAACGCCGCGUGAACGAUGAAGUACCUCGGUAUGUAAAGUUCUUUUAUUAAGGAAGAAAAAAGAGUGGAAAAACUCCCUUGACGGUACUUAAUGAAUAAGCCCCGGCUAAUUAUGUGCCAGCAGCCGCGGUAAUACAUAAGGGGCGAGCGUUAUCCGGAAUUAUUGGGCGUAAAGGGUGCGUAGGCGGUUUAAUAAGUCUAUAGUUUAAUUUCAGUGCUUAACGCUGUUGUGCUAUAGAAACUGUUUUACUAGAGUGAGUUAGAGGCAAGCGGAAUUCCAUGUGUAGCGGUAAAAUGCGUAAAUAUAUGGAGGAACACCAGAGGCGUAGGCGGCUUGCUGGGACUUUACUGACGCUGAGGCACGAAAGCGUGGGGAGCAAACAGGAUUAGAUACCCUGGUAGUCCACGCCGUAAACGAUGAGUACUAAGUGUCGGGUAAAACCGGUACUGAAGUUAACACAUUAAGUACUCCGCCUGAGUAGUACGUACGCAAGUAUGAAACUUAAAGGAAUUGACGGGACUCCGCACAAGCGGUGGAUCAUGUUGUUUAAUUCGAAGAUACACGAAAAACCUUACCAGGUCUUGACAUUUUCUUGCGAAGUUAUAGAAAUAUAAUGGAGGUUAUCAGGAAAACAGGUGGUGCAUGGUUGUCGUCAGCUCGUGUCGUGAGAUGUUAGGUUAAGUCCUAAAACGAGCGCAACCCUUGUCGUUAAUUGCCAGCAUGUAAUGAUGGGGACUUUAACGAGACUGCCAAUGAAAAAUUGGAGGAAGGUGGGGAUUACGUCAAAUCAUCAUGCCCCUUAUGAUCUGGGCUACAAACGUGAUACAAUGGUUGAUACAAAGAGUAGCUGAAACGCGAGUUCUUAGCCAAUCUCACAAAAUCAAUCUCAGUUCGGAUUGAAGUCUGCAACUCGACUUCAUGAAGUUGGAAUCGCUAGUAAUCGCGAAUCAGCAUGUCGCGGUGAAUACGUUCACGGGGUUUGUACACACCGCCCGUCA